GUUCUUGUAGUUGAAUAACAACGGUGGUUUUUCAAGCCAUUGGUCCUGGAUAAAUACCUGGUAGGAACU
RNAcentral lists this transfer RNA (69 nucleotides) under Diplospinus multistriatus (striped escolar). RNAcentral's name for it is "tRNA-Glu". It matches the Rfam family "tRNA". Rfam says of the family: Transfer RNA (tRNA) molecules are approximately 80 nucleotides in length. Their secondary structure includes four short double-helical elements and three loops (D, anti-codon, and T loops). The record is from RNAcentral. Lineage: Eukaryota; Metazoa; Chordata; Actinopteri; Scombriformes; Gempylidae.